GACGUAGGGCGCGAGCGUUGUCCGGAUUUAUUGGGCGUAAAGCGCACGUAGGCGGCUUAGCAAGUCGGAUGUGAAAUCCCUCGGCUCAACCAAGGAAGUGCAUCCGAAACUGCUGAGCUUGAGUACGAAAGAGGAUCGCGGAAUUCCCGGUGUAGAGGUGAAAUUCGUAGAUAUCGGGAGGAACACCAGUGGCGAAGGCGGCGAUCUGGGUCGAUACUGACGCUGAGGUGCGAAAGCGUGGGGAGCAAACAGG
This 253-nucleotide ribosomal RNA is filed under the name uncultured bacterium. RNAcentral describes it as "partial 16S ribosomal RNA". It matches the Rfam family "Bacterial small subunit ribosomal RNA", at positions 524 to 776 of the family's 1533-position model. The record is from RNAcentral.